This 218-nucleotide unclassified non-coding RNA is filed under the name Hevea brasiliensis (rubber tree). The record is from RNAcentral. Lineage: Eukaryota; Viridiplantae; Streptophyta; Magnoliopsida; Malpighiales; Euphorbiaceae.
CAAUCUUGGUCCCUAACUCUGUCCCUCUCUCUAUACCUAUCCCUGUCCUUCUCCCUCUCCCUUUUCCUUUCCUGAUCUCUGUGACUAUCACUAGACCAAGUCACAUCUUUAUCUUUUCUUUUAUCUUUUUCUUUCUGCCUUUUCCUAUCCAGCUCCUCCUCUAUGUCCCCGCUCCUGUCCCAUUCUUUCUCCCUCCUCCUAUCCCUCUCCACCUCCCU